RNAcentral lists this ribosomal RNA (577 nucleotides) under Mucor racemosus. RNAcentral's name for it is "eukaryotic LSU rRNA". It matches the Rfam family "Eukaryotic large subunit ribosomal RNA", at positions 247 to 743 of the family's 3401-position model. The record is from RNAcentral. Lineage: Eukaryota; Fungi; Mucoromycota; Mucoromycetes; Mucorales; Mucoraceae.
UGAUAUGUUUUCAAAGAGUCAGGUUGUUUGGGAAUGCAGCCUAAAUUGGGUGGUAAAUCUCACCUAAAGCUAAAUAUUUGCGAGAGACCGAUAGCGAACAAGUACCGUGAGGGAAAGAUGAAAAGAACUUUGAAAAGAGAGUUAAACAGUAUGUGAAAUUGUUAAAAGGGAACCGUUUGGAGCCAGAUUGGCUUGAUUGUAAUCAACCUAGAAUUCUUUGGGUGCACUUGCAGUCUAUGCCUGCCAACGACAGUUUGAUUUGGAGGAAAAAAUUAAUAGGAAUGUGGCCUUUCGAGGUGUUAUAGCCUAUUAUCAUACUCUGGAUUGGACUGAGGAACGCAGCGAAUGCCUUUAGGCAAGAUUGCUGGGCGCUUUCGCUAAUAAAUGUUAGAAUUUCUGCUUCGGGUGGUGCUAAUGUUUAAAGGAGGAACCCGUUUAGUAUAUUUUUUAUUCGCUUAGGUUGUUGGCUUAAUGACUCUAAAUGACCCGUCUUGAAACACGGACCAAGGAGUCCACCAUAAGUGCAAGUAUUUGGGUGCCAAACCCAUAUGCGUAAGGAAACUGAUUGAUACGAAAU